GACGAACGCUGGCGGCGUGCUUAACACAUGCAAGUCGAGCGGUAAGGCUCCUUCGGGAGUACACGAGCGGCGAACGGGUGAGUAACACGUGAGCAAUCUGCCCUUCACUCUGGGAUAACUUCCGGAAACGGAAGCUAAUACCGGAUACGACCGCCUCAGGCAUCUGAGGUGGUGGAAAGUUCCGGCGGUGAAGGAUGAGCUCGCGGCCUAUCAGCUUGUUGGUGGGGUAAUGGCCCACCAAGGCUUCGACGGGUAGCCGGCCUGAGAGGGUGACCGGCCACACUGGGACUGAGACACGGCCCAGACUCCUACGGGAGGCAGCAGUGGGGAAUAUUGGACAAUGGGCGAAAGCCUGAUCCAGCAACGCCGCGUGAGGGAUGACGGCCUUCGGGUUGUAAACCUCUUUCAGCUCCGACGAAGCGAAAGUGACGGUAGGAGCAGAAGAAGCACCGGCCAACUACGUGCCAGCAGCCGCGUAACAC
This 482-nucleotide ribosomal RNA is filed under the name uncultured bacterium. RNAcentral describes it as "bacterial SSU rRNA". It matches the Rfam family "Bacterial small subunit ribosomal RNA", at positions 28 to 526 of the family's 1533-position model. The record is from RNAcentral.